GACGUAGGGGGCGAGCGUUGUCCGGAUUCAUUGGGCGUAAAGGGUGCGUAGGCGGCGCGGUAAGUCGGGUGUGAAAUCUCGGAGCUUAACUCCGAAACUGCAUUCGAUACUGCCGUGCUUGAGGACUGGAGAGGAGACUGGAAUUUACGGUGUAGCGGUGAAAUGCGUAGAUAUCGUAAGGAAGACCAGUGGCGAAGGCGGGUCUCUGGACAGUUCCUGACGCUGAGGCACGAAGGCCAGGGGAGCAAACGGG
RNAcentral lists this ribosomal RNA (253 nucleotides) under uncultured bacterium. Its description in RNAcentral is "partial 16S ribosomal RNA". It matches the Rfam family "Bacterial small subunit ribosomal RNA", at positions 524 to 776 of the family's 1533-position model. The record is from RNAcentral.